Molecule: ribosomal RNA, 903 nt
Filed under: Pleosporales sp. CBS 101277
Lineage: Eukaryota; Fungi; Ascomycota; Dothideomycetes; Pleosporales
Description: SSU rRNA
Rfam family: Eukaryotic small subunit ribosomal RNA
Source: RNAcentral
UAUCGUUUAUUUGAUAGUACCUUACUACUUGGAUACCCGUGGUAAUUCUAGAGCUAAUACAUGCAAAAAACCCCGACUUCUGAAGGGGUGUAUUUAUUAGAUAAAAAACCAAUGCCCUUCGGGGCUCUUUGGUGAUUCAUGAUAACUCAACGGAUCGCAUGGCCUUGCGCCGGCGACGGUUCAUUCAAAUUUCUGCCCUAUCAACUUUCGAUGGUAAGGUAUUGGCUUACCAUGGUUUCAACGGGUAACGGAUUUUUAGGGAAAGAUCCCGGAGAGGGAGCCUGAGAAACGGCUACCACAUCCAAGGAAGGCAGCAGGCGCGCAAAUUACCCAAUCCUGAUACAGGGAGGUAGUGACAAUAAAUACUGAUACAGGGCUCUUUUGGGUCUUGUAAUCGGAAUGAGUACAAUUUAAAUACCUUAACGAGGAACAAUUGGAGGGCAAGUCUGGUGCCAGCAGCCGCGGUAAUUCCAGCUCCAAUAGCGUAUAUUAAAGUUGUUGCAGUUAAAAAGCUCGUAGUUGAACCUUGGGCCUGGCUGGCCGGUCCGCCUCACCGCGUGUACUGGUCCGGCCGGGCCUUUCCUUCUGGAGAACCGCAUGCCCUUCACUGGGUGUGCCGGGGAANCAGGACUUUUACUUUGAGAAAAUUAGAGUGUUCAAAGCAGGCCUUUGCUCGAAUACGUUAGCAUGGAAUAAUAGAAUAGGACGUGCGGUCCUAUUUUGNUGGUUUCUAGAACCGCCGUAAUGAUUAAUAGGGAUAGUCGGGGGCGUCAGUAUUCAAUUGUCAGAGGUGAAAUUCUUGGAUCUNUUGAAGACUAACUACUGCGAAAGCAUUCGCCAAGGAUGUUUUCAUUAAUCAGUGAACGAAAGUUAGGGGAUCGAAGACGAUCAGAUACCGUCGUA